GGGUUGACGCCAUUCUCCUGCCUCAGCCUCCCGAGUAGCUGUAGCUGGGACUACAGGCGCCCGCUGCCACGCCCGGCUAAUUUUUUGUAUUUUUAGUGGACACGGGGUUUCACCAUGUUAGCCAGGAUGAUCUCUAUCUCCUGACCUCGUGACCCGCCCGCCUCGGCCUCCCGAAGUGCUGGGAUUACAGGCGUUGAGCCACGGCGCCCGGCCUGCCAUUUCUAAUAGUGCAUGUAUUAAGAUGAAGAAGGAGGAGGAUUGGAGAACUGAGUAAAGGAAGAGGAGGACGAAGAAAGAAAAAGAAACCGAGGGACCAUUUUAAAUAAAAGAUAAAUCAAGAGAAAACUGUCUUACCAGAUUGCAUUCCCCAAAGUGAGGGCAGUCCAGAGUGGCACACCAAAGUAUUUCUGAUGCCAGAACUUCACCAUCAGAGACAGCAGUCCUCUUCCCUGGCCUGGACAAGAUCCCCAAGGUACUCACAAUACUUCUCAUGAAUUGAGGCAUGAAAAGGUCUCCUGAUGAAGGACUCAAGUUGGUGGAGAAGCUGAUCGUCCACCUCGAUCUCACUUUUUCCAGUGUAGAAAUG
Pan troglodytes (chimpanzee) is the source of this 586-nucleotide long non-coding RNA. RefSeq lists it as uncharacterized. The record is from RefSeq and is a predicted model, not a curated record. The transcript is spliced from 3 exons. NCBI's taxonomy places the organism in Eukaryota, Metazoa, Chordata, Mammalia, Primates, Hominidae.